GAUGAACGCUGGCGGCGUGCCUAAUACAUGCAAGUCGAGCGAAUGGAUUAAGAGCUUGCUCUUAUGAAGUUAGCGGCGGACGGGUGAGUAACACGUGGGUAACCUGCCCAUAAGACUGGGAUAACUCCGGGAAAGCGGGGCUAAUACCGGAUAACAUUUUGAACCGCAUGGUUCGAAAUUGAAAGGCGGCUUCGGCUGUCACUUAUGGAUGGACCCGGGUCGCAUUAGCUAGUUGGUGAGGUAACGGCUCACCAAGGCAACGAUGCGUAGCCGACCUGAGAGGGUGAUCGGCCACACUGGGACUGAGACAUGGCCCCGACUCCUACGGGAGGCAGCAGUAGGGAAUCUUCCGCAAUGGACGAAAGUCUGACGGAGCAACGCCGCGUGAGUGAUGAAGGCUUUCGGGUCGUAAAACUCUGUUGUUAGGGAAGAACAAGUGCUAGUUGAAUAAGCUGGCACCUUGACGGUACCUAACCAGAAAGCCACGGCUAACUACGUGCCAGUCGCCGCGGUAA
RNAcentral lists this ribosomal RNA (515 nucleotides) under uncultured bacterium. RNAcentral describes it as "partial 16S ribosomal RNA". It matches the Rfam family "Bacterial small subunit ribosomal RNA", at positions 28 to 523 of the family's 1533-position model. The record is from RNAcentral.